UACAACAACCUCAUGUUAAAUGACUUAAGAAUAAGGUAUCGUCAUAGACUUCAUAAUGUAUUGACAUGACACAUUCCCCAUUCACUGCAUCAUGGAUUCCAGAAGGGGGCCGUCCCACACUCUGUUCAUUUAUUAGAAAUUAGCCACAUGCAGCGAUCCAACGCUAGGUUUAGGUUGAAAAAGUACCAAAGCUGUACCGCAUACAAACAGGAAGGAUUGUCUCAGGAGUGAUUUGUUCCAGGAUUCAAGUUGCCACCUCCUCAAUGCUGAAGCAUUACUGGCCAAGCAUGAGAAUGAAGUUUCUGAUCAUCCCCAAAUAAACACAGGCUAUGGUAGCACUUACAUGACAAAGUGGGGAGUCAAGGAGGCAAUGCAACUGUAGAUGAAAUUGCAAAAGUGCAACGAUGCAUGGCUGAGCCGAACAUGGCACGCAAUGCCGAUUUUCUUCGAUACUGGAGGAGCCAAUGGAUAUCUUAUCCAAACCUCUUUCAACUGGAAAUUCUUGUGCAUGCUGGCAUUGUUGGUUCCAUGCGAGUGUGUUGUCCACAGCAGGCUUGUAAAAAAAACAAAAAAAA
Molecule: long non-coding RNA, 575 nt
Organism: Corythoichthys intestinalis (scribbled pipefish)
Lineage: Eukaryota; Metazoa; Chordata; Actinopteri; Syngnathiformes; Syngnathidae
Exons: 3
Source: RefSeq, a predicted model, not a curated record